AUGGACUUUUGCUGAUGAGGUAUCACUCCGCCAGAAAAGUAGAGACCUGUUUAUGUGUUUGGUGUUUCCAAAACAGGAGGCCAGGUGUCCUAAGGUGACCCCCAAGAGAAGAGUCCACAUCUUGGGUAAACCUUGUCUGGAGAUGGAUGGAAGGUUAAGAAUGCAGAGCAGCUGUCGUCACCCACGCAAGAAGAGGAAGAGCGCUUCAUGAGAGCACACACACCUCUUGCCUCUCCCACAUUCGCUCCACCUCUCUCUGCCGUUUGAAUAAAUGGAGGUGAUCGCUCCCUCCUUCCUCUUUUCAGACGGCGACUGUUUGAGUGUGCCCAUCUGGUCUUUUGUUCGCUCCUCACUUCAUUUUGAAUUCAUCCCAUUUUCUUGCCUACUGUACACGUCUUCAGCGUGAGCCAUUUCACAGACACACUCUUCAUUCAGGAGAUGUUACGACUACCGAUGGACAAGAGUAUCGGGACACUUAUUUUACAAUCAAUCCGGGAGCAAGAUUGUCGAUAAGAGCCUUAAUUCUGCAUAUUAGCAGACUAAGACACUUUGGAGUAUUCCAUGCUCCUUACUUUGUGGCAACAUUUUGUAAAAUGGAAACAGGGGUGUCAAACUCAUUUAAGCCCAGGGGCCACAAAGAGGAAAAUAUACUCCCAAGUAGGUAAAAUCACGGAAUGAUAACUUAAAAAUAUAGACAACUUCAGAUUGUUUUCUUUGUUUAAAGGGGAACAUUAUCACCAGAUCUAUGUAAGCGUCAAUAUAUAUCUUGAUGUUGCAGAAAAAAGACCAUAUGUUUUUUUAACCGAUUUCCGAACUCUAAAUGGGUGAAUUUUGGCGAAGUAAACGCCUUUCUGUUUAUCGCUCUCUUUGCGACGACGUCAGAACGUGACGUCACAUCGGUCGUCAACGCCAUGUUUCCCUACCACAUCGAGUCAAAUCAGCUCUGUUAUUUUCCGUUUUUUUGACUGUUUUCCGUACCUGAGAGAUAUCAUGCCUCGUCGGUGUGUUGUCCGAGGGUGUAACAACACGAUCAUGGACGGAUUCAAGUUGAUUUACGUAGAAUGUGCAUCAAAUAGCACGGCAUGCUAAUCGAUGCUAACAUGCUAUUUAGGCUAGCUGUGUGCAUUAUGCCUCAUUUGUAGCUAUAUUUACAUCCAGCCUUUCCCUCCAUCCACAUUUAAUGCCAAACAAACACUUACCAAUCGAUGGAUUUAAGUUGCUCCAGUGUCAAGAGAUGCGAAAGUCCCUCGUUUGGUAUUUACCGGCGAUGCUACGACAGAGAUGGCACAGAGAUGACAAGAAUGUCUGGAUAUCCUGCGACACAAAGCCGAUGCAUUCCCAACGAUAAAGUCAACGAAAUAACAAAGGUAUUGGAUGGGCAGCAAUCCACCAAACGACAACACCGCUCAGAUGUCCCUACCUUCAAAUGAUAUUGGCACAACAGAACUGCAGGUUUAACCACUAAAGUUGCCAUAGCAACAGCCCCCACCACACCGCAACAUGCUGCGUAACCGAGAGUGACCUACACUCCUGACUGAGUCUUUACAACUGCGUGCAUGUUUUUAUUUUAAAAAUUUUCAGCAGGUACAAACCUGGUCACUCUGUGGUUGUAUUUAGUUGAUAAUCAGAA
This is a long non-coding RNA of Nerophis ophidion (straightnose pipefish), 1630 nucleotides long. RefSeq lists it as uncharacterized. The transcript has 5 exons. The record is from RefSeq and is a predicted model, not a curated record. Lineage: Eukaryota; Metazoa; Chordata; Actinopteri; Syngnathiformes; Syngnathidae.